Molecule: long non-coding RNA, 321 nt
Organism: Fukomys damarensis (Damara mole-rat)
Lineage: Eukaryota; Metazoa; Chordata; Mammalia; Rodentia; Bathyergidae
Exons: 3
Source: RefSeq, a predicted model, not a curated record
UGAAUUGAGGACCUUGCGCUUGCAAAGCAAGUGCAGUGCCACUGAACUAAAUCCUCAGCCCUCUAAAUUACUGUUAGUAAGAACAGUUUGCGAUAAGCCACUGUUAGUUCUCCCAAACCUCUGUUACAUAUGGAACAACAUUCAAAGCAUCAUCUAAGAAGUAAGAUUAAUAAAUACCAGAUGCCAGUACCUUGAUCUUGGACUCCUCAGCUUCCAGAACUGCUGCUCUGUGUGUCCUGGCUCAAUGCUUCAGCUUUCCCUGGACGAUCAGUGAAGGCGACAGCCCAACGGUGUGCUUGCUGGACUCAAGAGAUGUCAUGG